This 494-nucleotide ribosomal RNA is filed under the name uncultured bacterium. RNAcentral describes it as "partial 16S ribosomal RNA". It matches the Rfam family "Bacterial small subunit ribosomal RNA", at positions 29 to 523 of the family's 1533-position model. The record is from RNAcentral.
AUUGAACGCUGGCGGCAUGCUUUACACAUGCAAGUCGAACGGUAGAGGGGCAACCCUUGAGAGUGGCGAACGGGUGAGUAAUGCAUCGGAACGUGCCCAGUAGUGGGGGAUAGCCCGGCGAAAGCCGGAUUAAUACCGCAUGAGACCUGAGGGUGAAAGCGGGGGAUCGCAAGACCUCGCGCUAUUGGAGCGGCCGAUGUCAGAUUAGCUAGUUGGUGGGGUAAAGGCCUACCAAGGCGACGAUCUGUAGCUGGUCUGAGAGGACGACCAGCCACACUGGGACUGAGACACGGCCCAGACCCCUACGGGAGGCAGCAGUGGGGAAUUUUGGACAAUGGGCGCAAGCCUGAUCCAGCCAUGCCGCGUGCGGGAAGAAGGCCUUCGGGUUGUAAACCGCUUUUGUCAGGGAAGAAAUCUUCUGGGCUAAUACCCUGGGAGGAUGACGGUACCUGAAGAAUAAGCACCGGCUAACUACGUGCCAGCCGCCGCAGUAA